This 259-nucleotide long non-coding RNA is filed under the name Ananas comosus (pineapple). RNAcentral's name for it is "long non-coding RNA (ACOM_LNC035540)". The record is from RNAcentral. Lineage: Eukaryota; Viridiplantae; Streptophyta; Magnoliopsida; Poales; Bromeliaceae.
GGAACUAAGGAAGUUAGUUCUCACCCCCAUUUUACUACAGGUUCCAGUUCGGGUGUCCCCGGUGAGCGCGAGGAUCGCGGUAAGGGCCCGGCGUUUUAGUCGCAUUAGCUACCUUCCUUUUUGCACUAGCCGUCACCCUUUUAUAUUUGAGAGUAGAUGAUGUAUAGGGUGAGGUUCGAGUGAUGGUAUUUAUAUUUUGGAAGAAUGUAAAAGAUGUACUUGAAUGUAAUAAGUCAAAUGAAUGUAAUAGAUAGCUUUU